Molecule: ribosomal RNA, 469 nt
Filed under: uncultured bacterium
Lineage: Bacteria
Description: partial 16S ribosomal RNA
Rfam family: Bacterial small subunit ribosomal RNA
Source: RNAcentral
GAUGAACGCUGGCGGCGUGCUUAACACAUGCAAGUCGAACGGUGAACACGGAGCUUACUCUGUGGGAUCAGUGGCGAACGGGUGAGUAACACGUGAGCAACCUGCCCCUGACUCUGGGAUAAGCGCUGGAAACGGCGUCUAAUACUGGAUAUGUGACGUGACCGCAUGGUCUGCGUUUGGAAAGAUUUUUCGGUUGGGGAUGGGCUCGCGGCCUAUCAGCUUGUUGGUGAGGUAAUGGCUCACCAAGGCGUCGACGGGUAGCCGGCCUGAGAGGGUGACCGGCCACACUGGGACUGAGACACGGCCCAGACUCCUACGGGAGGCAGCAGUGGGGAAUAUUGCACAAUGGGCGCAAGCCUGAUGCAGCAACGCCGCGUGAGGGAUGACGGCCUUCGGGUUGUAAACCUCUUUUAGCAGGGAAGAAGCGAAAGUGACGGUACCUGCAGAAAAAGCGCCGGCUAACUACGUG